RNAcentral lists this ribosomal RNA (1372 nucleotides) under uncultured bacterium. Its description in RNAcentral is "bacterial SSU rRNA". It matches the Rfam family "Bacterial small subunit ribosomal RNA", at positions 28 to 1381 of the family's 1533-position model. The record is from RNAcentral.
GAUGAACGCUGGCGGCGUGCCUAAUACAUGCAAGUCGCGCGAACGGACGAGAAGCUUGCUUCUCUGAUGUUAGCGGCGGACGGGUGAGUAACACGUGGAUAACCUACCUAUAAGACUGGGAUAACUUCGGGAAACCGGAGCUAAUACCGGAUAAUAUUUUGAACCGCAUGGUUCAAAAGUGAAAGACGGUCUUGCUGUCACUUAUAGAUGGAUCCGCGCUGCAUUAGCUAGUUGGUAAGGUAACGGCUUACCAAGGCAACGAUGCAUAGCCGACCUGAGAGGGUGAUCGGCCACACUGGAACUGAGACACGGUCCAGACUCCUACGGGAGGCAGCAGUAGGGAAUCUUCCGCAAUGGGCGAAAGCCUGACGGAGCAACGCCGCGUGAGUGAUGAAGGUCUUCGGAUCGUAAAACUCUGUUAUUAGGGAAGAACAUAUGUGUAGGUAACUGUGCACAUCUUGACGGUACCUAAUCAGAAAGCCACGGCUAACUACGUGCCAGCAGCCGCGGUAAUACGUAGGUGGCAAGCGUUAUCCGGAAUUAUUGGGCGUAAAGCGCGCGUAGGCGGUUUUUUAAGUCUGAUGUGAAAGCCCACGGCUCAACCGUGGAGGGUCAUUGGAAACUGGAAACCUUGAGUGCAGAAGAGGAAAGUGGAAUUCCAUGUGUAGCGGUGAAAUGCGCAGAGAUAUGGAGGAACACCAGUGGCGAAGGCGACUUUCUGGUCUGUAACUGACGCUGAUGUGCGAAAGCGUGGGGAUCAAACAGGAUUAGAUACCCUGGUAGUCCACGCCGUAAACGAUGAGUGCUAAGUGUUAGGGGGUUUCCGCCCCUUAGUGCUGCAGCUAACGCAUUAAGCACUCCGCCUGGGGAGUACGACCGCAAGGUUGAAACUCAAAGGAAUUGGCGGGGACCCGCACAAGCGGUGGAGCAUGUGGUUUAAUUCGAAGCAACGCGAAGAACCUUACCAAAUCUUGACAUCCUUUGACAACUCUAGAGAUAGAGCUUUCCCCUUCGGGGGACAAAGUGACAGGUGGUGCAUGGUUGUCGUCAGCUCGUGUCGUGAGAUGUUGGGUUAAGUCUCGCAACGAGCGCAACCCUUAAGCUUAGUUGCCAUCAUUAAGUUGGGCACUCUAAGUUGACUGCCGGUGACAAACCGGAGGAAGGUGGGGAUGACGUCAAAUCAUCAUGCCCCUUAUGAUUUGGGCUACACACGUGCUACAAUGGACAAUACAAAGGGCAGCGAAACCGCGAGGUCAAGCAAAUCCCAUAAAGUUGUUCUCAGUUCGGAUUGUAGUCUGCAACUCGACUACAUGAAGCUGGAAUCGCUAGUAAUCGUAGAUCAGCAUGCUACGGUGAAUACGUUCCCGGGUCU